Molecule: long non-coding RNA, 1239 nt
Filed under: Homo sapiens (human)
Lineage: Eukaryota; Metazoa; Chordata; Mammalia; Primates; Hominidae
Description: HSALNT0379555
Source: RNAcentral
CUAGCUGUCCCGUGGUACACUCAGAAUGCUGAAGGAGAACUUGCUGGAGGCAGACCCCGCGAACGGCAAGAACAGGAGCAGAUGACCGUCUCUGAAGUGCCGAGGCAGAGGCAGCAGCCGGACCCACACGCCCUGCUCCACUCCCACUUACGGGUGUGGGAGAAGCAUCAGAUCAGCAAAAUGACUGCGCCACCACCCAGCUCCUUAGCAGAGCAACCUCCACAGAAUACAGCUCAGAAAGAGGGGACGCCUGGGCUGCCAGAAAGAGUGGGGUGCAAACAUGUGCAAACCUCAACGAGUGCUGGCUGUGUGCAACAAAGCCCUGUGGAAAGUGGAGGGUGAUAAAGGCAAGGCAGACCUGAGUAUUGGGCAGUCGUAAUGAUCUGUGAGCCAGGAGGGGCGUGAUCAGGAGGAGGAUGGAAACACUGGCUAUCUUUGAAUUCUAAAUAUACUUGUUAAAAUUCUAAGAGUGACUAUUUUAAAAUAGAAAUAGAGCAUAUAACUUCCACUUAACUCUCCAAGGAAAAAAUAGAAUGUCAGACUGAGCCAGAGCCAUGGAAGAGUGCUCAGGCAGCGGGAGCUACACGUGCAAAGGCCCUGGGGAAGGAGGGAAGAGGCGCAUGCCUGGCACUGAUGUCAGUGCGGCUGGAGGCAGACGGGCGCAGAAAGGGGUCUGAGACGUGGCUGAAGGCAGCAGGACCAGACAGGAUGGGGCCUCAGGGCCGUGGUUCUGAGCUUCAUUCCAACAGCAGGAAAAGGGAGGCAUGUUUGUAACCUGCAGGGAGGCGGGAGCCAUGGACAGGAUUGCAUCUGUGACUUGCCAGCAUCCCGCCGGCUCCCAUGGGAGCAGACUGCCCUCAGGCCCCAGCGGAGGGAGGGAGAACAGACAGAACAAUUUUGGCCCCUGGACAUGGUGGCGGCAGGGGAGGUGGGCUGUGGCCUUCCAAGAAGAGGAGGAGACACCAGAGGUGGGCGCAGCAAGGCCGGGAGAAGGUUUCAUGAGAAACCAGCUCUGACACUGGUGGCACCUUGAUCUUGGACUUCCAGGCUCCAGAGCUGUGAGAAAAUAAAGGUCUAUCGUCUAAGCUGCCCAGGCUGAGGUCUUCUGUUACGCUCUGGAGUCCACGCACCUCCAUCUUGUUCUCCUGGGAGGCUGACUUGGGCUCCAGCCACCAUGCCGAGUGAACCAUGACAGAGGUGGCCCUCCAGCCCCCACUCGGGCACCCCGGCUGAUGCCAC